Molecule: ribosomal RNA, 423 nt
Filed under: uncultured bacterium
Lineage: Bacteria
Description: bacterial SSU rRNA
Rfam family: Bacterial small subunit ribosomal RNA
Source: RNAcentral
AGUAAGGAAUAUUGCGCAAUGGGCGAAAGCCUGACGCAGCGACGCCGCGUGGGGGAUGAAGGUCUUCGGAUUGUAAACCCCUUUCGGGAGGGAAGAUGGGAUGGGGUAACCCAUUCGGACGGUACCUCCAGAAGCAGCCACGGCUAACUUCGUGCCAGCAGCCGCGGUAAUACGAAGGUGGCAAGCGUUGUUCGGAUUUACUGGGCGUACAGGGAGCGUAGGCGGUUGGAUAAGCCCUCCGUGAAAUCUCCAGGCUUAACCUGGAAAGUGCAGAGGGGACUGUUCAGCUAGAGGAUGGGAGAGGAGCGCGGAAUUCCCGGUGUAGCGGUGAAAUGCGUAGAGAUCGGGAGGAAGGCCGGUGGCGAAGGCGGCGCUCUGGAACAUUUCUGACGCUGAGGCUCGAAAGCGUGGGGAGCAAACAGG